UUAUAGUUGUACAUCCUUUGUUAUUGUAUCAACAAAAGUUCAUAAAUAAGGAUUUUGCUAUGAAAAAUUGUAAUCAAUGUUUCCUUUCAUUUUUUUUUGUACAAUAUCUAGUAAAAUUAGGAAUAUUCCAAAACCGGGACGUUUAUCAAAAUCAUAAAAGUGUACAAAUUUAAAUUAUCAUUCAUCGAAAUAUGCUACUAACUAAUUUGUUAUUAUCCGGAAAUAUAUUAAUCAAAGAUAAGACACAGCAUGUGAAAGUGCGGCAUCUACACAACUGAUACACGAGGAUUAGCACUCCCAAUAAUCUAUUGAUAAAAUUAUCACGUGACAUGAUGCUGAUUAAUGUAUGACCACACGUGUGUGACCGCCUUUUUCAAACGCGGAAAUUGUAUCAUUUUCCUGGACAAUAUUUAGGACCGUUUUCAGCAAAGAAGAAUUCAUAGAAAUGUAUUAGAGACAGAACAGUAACUUAGGAAAGGGACAGAUCAGUAACUUAGGAAAGAAAGAUUUAAGGAUAAAAGUAAUAGCUGUCAAGGAAGAGUAAUGGAGGCCUACACAAAGAUAACAGAAGCUGAAUUAAAGAAGGAUUGUGCACCAGAAAUGAUUGGAGGAGUUUAGAAACUACAAUUCAUUUUCACGAAAAUAAUAAAAAUUGAUUAAGAAA
Molecule: long non-coding RNA, 664 nt
Organism: Mytilus californianus (California mussel)
Lineage: Eukaryota; Metazoa; Mollusca; Bivalvia; Mytilida; Mytilidae
Exons: 3
Source: RefSeq, a predicted model, not a curated record